RNA transcript from Talpa occidentalis (Iberian mole), 4456 nucleotides. It is a transcript of the gene named centrosomal protein 83, with no coding region annotated. The transcript has 21 exons. The record is from RefSeq and is a predicted model, not a curated record. Lineage: Eukaryota; Metazoa; Chordata; Mammalia; Eulipotyphla; Talpidae.
AGUGCCCCGCGCGCGCGCCGCGGGACCGGGCGUGAGUCCGCAGGUAUUUGGCCUCCUAAGAGUCUGAGCAAGAAAGAAGUGGAAUAUACUCUUGAAAGGAAAACAAAGACAAUAAUAAAAACAGAACUUAAUUUUACAUGGUUGUCAGCUCAUUUACCAAUAUGGACACUUUUCCCACCAAUUUUCCGCCGGGUGGAGACAGUGGGCUGACAAACUCUCAAUCUGAGCUCCAAAAAAUGUUAAUUGAUGAAAGGUUACGAUGUGAACAUCAUAAAACUAAUUAUCAGACUCUGAAAGCUGAACACACAAGGUUGCAGGAUGAGUACAUAAAAUCACAGAAUGAACUCAAGCACCUAUUAAAUGAAAAGCAAACUAACCAGGAAAAAUUUCAGCUGCUGCUUGAAGAAUUAAGAGGGGAAUUAGUAGAGAAAACUAAAGACUUAGAAGAAAUGAAGUUGCAGGUAUUAACGCCACAAAAACUGGAAUCAUUAAGAGUUCAGAUACAAAAAGAAUUAGAAGCUCCAAUGAGAGAGCAUUUUAGAAAUCUGGAUGAAGAAGUGGAAAAGUAUAGAGCUGAAUAUAAUAAGCUUCGUUAUGAAAAUACAUUUCUUAAGUCAGAAUUUGAACACCAGAAAAAAGAAUUUGCAUGUAUUUUAGAAGAAGAAAAAAUAAAAUAUGAAUCAGAGGUUGCAAGACUGGAAAAAGAUAAAGAAGAACUACAUAACCAGCUCCUUAGUAUUGAUUCCACAAGAGACAGCAAACGAAUGGAGCAACUUGUUCGAGAAAAAGCCCAUUUGUGUCAGAAAUUAAAAGGCUUAGAGACUGAAGUAGCAGAAUUAAGGGCUGAAAAAGAGAAUUCUGGUGCUCAGGUAGAAAAUGUCCAAAGAAUUCAGGUGCGGCAGUUGGCUGAGAUGCAAGCUACGGUUAGAUCCCUGGAGGCAGAAAAACAGUCAGCUAAACUGCAGGCUGAACGCAUGGAAAAAGAGCUACAAUCAAGCAAUGAACAGAAUACUGUUUUAAUCAGUAAACUGCAUAAAGCUGAACAAGACGUAAAUACGCUGACCAGUAAUGUGAAAGAACUGAAGCAUUCAAACAAGCUAGAAAUAACAGACAUCAAACUGGAGGCAGCAAGAGCUAAGAGUGAGCUAGAAAGAGAAAAAAAUAAGAUUCAAACUGAACUGGAUGGGUUACAGACAGACAAUGAAAUUCUCAAAUCAGCUGUUGAACACCACAAAGUGCUUCUAGAAGAAAAAGAUCGUGAAUUAAUACGUAAGGUACAAGCUGCCAAAGAAGAGGGUUAUCAAAAACUUGUGGUAUUACAAGAUGAAAAGCUAGAACUUGAAACCAAAUUAGCAGAGCUAGAGAAAAUGAAAGUGGAAAAUGACGUCUGGAGGCAAUCUGAAAAGGAUCAGUGUGAAGAGAAGCUGCGGGCUUCGCAGAUGGCAGAGGAGUCGGCCAGAAGGGAGCUUCAGAGUAUUAGGUUAAAGCUUCAACAACAUAUUGUGAAUACUGAAAAUGCAGAGAAAGAAAAAAAUGAAAAUUCUGACCUGAAACAGCAAAUCAGCAGUUUACAGAUCCAGGUGACCUCUCUGGGACAGUCAGAGAAUGAAUUGCUGAAUUCAAAUCAAAUGCUGAAGGAAAUGAUGGAGAGGUUAAAACAGGAAUGCCGAAAUUUAAGAAGCCAAGCUGAAAAAGCACAACUAGAAGUUGAAAAGACACUGGAAGAGAAACAGAUACAGUGGUUGGAAGAAAAACAUAAGCUACAUGAACGUAUCACAGACAGAGAAGAAAAGUAUAAUCAAGCUAAAGAGAAAUUGCAGCGAGCUGCAAUUGCCCAGAAAAAGAGAAAAUCUCUCCAUGAAAACAAAUUGAAGAGACUGCAGGAAAAAGUAGAAGUCUUAGAGGCAAAGAGAGAAGAAUUGGAAACAGAAAAUCAGGUGUUAAAGAGACAAAAUGUUCCAUUUGAAGAAUAUACAAGACUGCAAAAAAGACUGAAGGAUAUACAGAGAAGACAUAAUGAAUUUCGAAGUUUAAUUUUAGUUCCUAACAUACCUCCAGUGGCAUCCAUCAACUCUGUUAACUUCCAGUCAUCAACCAUGGUUCCAGGCAUGGAACUAUCCUUUCCACCUCAUAUGCAGGAGGAACAGCAUCAAAGGGAACUUUCGCUACUUCGUAAAAGACUAGAAGAACUAGAAACAACACAAAGAAAACAACUAGAGGAACUUGGAUCUCCUGGGGAAUGAUGUUCUUGGAGAAAAGGCAGAUCAGAGGAACGAAAUCAGUGACUCAGUAAAGCUUGAAGAUUUAAUGUAUGUGGCAUUUAGAUACUUUACUACAGUUUGCCAAAAUGCUUCAAUGUGCCUCAAGAAAAGGUACCAGCUAAAUGCUGUAUCGCAUGAAGAGAAAUUCUGCUGGAAUAACUUCAUGUCAACAGGACAAAGCUCAAGAAGUCUUCGCAGUCAAAAUCCCAGGUUAAUAGUGGAGGCCAGGAAUAUAACUGAGCAGCCCUUAGCAUCAUUUAGAAGAAACUAGGAAUGCCUUCACAUCAAGACUACUGGCCUUAGAUGGGGACCAGGCCUUUCACCUUUAUACUUUCAUUAUCACAGGAUCAACAACACUUUGGCUUAAAAUAGAAGCUCCCAAGAAAUACCAACUAUUUGCUUACAAAUAUGGGGCCAGACUUCCAAGGCCCUGUUUUAUGCAUUAUGUCACAGCCAUUCCAAGCACAGCAAGCAUUCGUGGGCAGCCAACAUGCAGGCAAGUAUUUCUUCUUAAAUGCAGCAGGCAAGGGUAUCCUGGUCAGAGAUCAAUAUUUCUCCCCCACCCCCCUUUUUCCCCUCCCCAGUGCUUCCCUCCUAACCCCUGACCCCUGAAAGAGGGAUGCUUAUCAUGUUAAGGAGCUCAUUGCCUCUACCCUACCUUAGUGCUUCACUUGAUCUUCAAGUAGCAAAUGGAAUUGGUGAGCUAUUCUCACCAUUGACAUGGAUAGCCUGUCCCAGCAUGACUGAGUUGGGGGGAAUCAGGGAAGGGGAAUUAACAUAUAUUUGGAAACAGCGCAUCUGAUGAUUGUGUCUGUGUGAAUUCCCAAAGAAAAAAAUCCAGAUUAAGGAGAAUUAAUCAUAAAGGAGAAUGAUUUAUUGAAAUAGUUGCUUAGUUAGAAAUGUCAUAAUUUCAUAUAACUUGAAUACAGAAUCUAGGCGAUUUAACAAGCUUAGCUUUCAUUUUUAGCAGAUGACAAACAAGCAUAAGCUGGCCCUAUUUAAUAGGACCAUUACUUACUCUUUUUUUAUAUCUAUAUAAAUAUUUACAUCAUUGUUCAUUUUUGUACAAUGUAUGCUUUCUUCUUUUACUACUUACUUUUUAAAGUUAACUUGAGUCGGUGUAGCCAUAGGCCCCAGCCAUUGAUUCAAAUGUAAAUUUAGGCUGGUACAAAGGUGGGCAGCAUGGUGAAACUGUAAGAGGGGCAGCCAUCUGCAGGGUCUGGCUUGGUGCCAGGUUCCCCCAUCUCUACAGGCUUCCUGGCCACCUGGGAUGCCAGAGCUGGACUCUGACCUAUACAAUGCUUUUUUAAUCAAGUCCUGGUUGGCUGAUUCAUGAUGUUAUUUAAAAUCUUACCUCAUCAAAAUAUUUUACGAUGUAUUUGUAGAUUUCCGUCAAGGCCACUUCUUCAUUAAAUUCAUUUUCAUGUUUCUUAAAAAAAGAAAGCUUGUUAAGAGCUUCUGAAAUCACUGUUUAAAAAAAGUAAUCAACUAUUUCUUUCUUACAAUACCUUAGAUUCCUGAGUUAAGAAUUCUUCCAUUUCUGAAGAUGACAAUGGAGGCAAAUCCCUGAUUGCUUUGUAGUAAGAUUUUACUUCCUCUUUGUAGGUUGGGAUAUCCUUGGCAUAGAGAAGUUUAUUAGUUGGUGCUUCCUGGGAAAAAAAAAAAAAAGGAGUAAAAAUCAUGGGGGAAUUAUAACUGUCAAUAUAGCUGAUGGACCUCCACUACCAGUAUCACACAUCCUGGUGACAAGACUUCAUGCAGUAGGCCUUAAUAAAUGUUGUUGACUGAAUGACUGACUGUUAUCCAGAUAGUUCUGUUGCUGCUCUGUGAGAGAAAAUGCAUCCAUGAAUGCCUGGGCAAUCACUGACAAACAGCCGUCUAUGUGUGGUGUCUUCUUAAUGUCAAAGACAAACUGAGGGUUCUUCAGGAUGUUUACCCAGAAGCGAAGAGGAAGGCUGUUCCAAGAGAGAGCGCAUUCAUAUGAGCACCCCAGAGUCGCAGAGGUGAGGUUCCGGGUGGCAGGAAAGGAGACGAGGUCCCAGCAUCGAUCGUGCUCAGAGGUCACUUGUUAAUAUUCAGCACUAAUGACGCCAGCGCGCGCUCCCUCCAGCUUCACGUCUGCAGUCAGGCAGCUUCCUGAGCUCUCAUUAAAACGCCGAGAUCCCCACCCUGUACUAUUAUUCUUGCAUUAAUUA